Molecule: unclassified non-coding RNA, 353 nt
Filed under: soil metagenome
Description: partial contains 5.8S ribosomal RNA, internal transcribed spacer 2, and large subunit ribosomal RNA
Rfam family: 5.8S ribosomal RNA (bases 1-120)
Source: RNAcentral
GAUGAAGAACGUAGCGAAAUGCGAUAAGUAAUGUGAAUUGCAGAAUUCAGUGAAUCAUCGAAUCUUUGAACGCACAUUGCGCCCGCCAGUAUUCUGGCGGGCAUGCCUGUUCGAGCGUCAUUACAACCCUCAGGCCCCCGGGCCUGGCGUUGGGGAUCGGCGGAAGCCCCCUGCGGGCACAACGCCGUCCCCCAAAUACAGUGGCGGUCCCGCCGCGGCUUCCAUUGCGUAGUAGCUAACACCUCGCAACUGGAGAGCGGCGCGGCCACGCCGUAAAACACCCAACUUCUGAAUGUUGACCUCGAAUCAGGUAGGAAUACCCGCUGAACUUAAGCAUAUCAAUAAGCGGAGGA